UGACGGUAACUUACCAGAAAGGGACGGCUAACUACGUGCCAGCAGCCGCGGUAAUACGUAGGUCCCGAGCGUUGUCCGGAUUUAUUGGGCGUAAAGCGAGCGCAGGCGGUUUAAUAAGUCUGAAGUUAAAGGCAGUGGCUUAACCAUUGUUCGCUUUGGAAACUGUUAGACUUGAGUGCAGAAGGGGAGAGUGGAAUUCCAUGUGUAGCGGUGAAAUGCGUAGAGAUUGGGAGGAACACCAGUGGCGAAGGCGACUUACUGGACUGUAACUGACGCUGAGGCGCGAAAGCGUGGGGAGCAAACAGGAUUAGAUACCCUG
This 319-nucleotide ribosomal RNA is filed under the name uncultured bacterium. RNAcentral's name for it is "bacterial SSU rRNA". It matches the Rfam family "Bacterial small subunit ribosomal RNA", at positions 470 to 789 of the family's 1533-position model. The record is from RNAcentral.